This 160-nucleotide ribosomal RNA is filed under the name Capsicum chacoense. Its description in RNAcentral is "5.8S ribosomal RNA". It matches the Rfam family "5.8S ribosomal RNA". From Rfam's summary of the family: 5.8S ribosomal RNA (5.8S rRNA) is a component of the large subunit of the eukaryotic ribosome. It is transcribed by RNA polymerase I as part of the 45S precursor that also contains 18S and 28S rRNA. Functionally, it is thought that 5.8S rRNA may be involved in ribosome translocation. Lineage: Eukaryota; Viridiplantae; Streptophyta; Magnoliopsida; Solanales; Solanaceae. The record is from RNAcentral.
AAAACAACUCUCGGCAAUAGAUAUCUCGGCUCUCCCAUCGAUGAAGAACGUAGCAAGAUGCGAUACUUGGUGUGAAUUACAGAAUCCCAUGAACCAUAGUGUAUUUGAAUGCAAUUUGUGCCCGAAGCCAUUAGGCCGAGGGCACGUCUGCCUGGGCAUC